Molecule: long non-coding RNA, 3611 nt
Organism: Onychostoma macrolepis
Lineage: Eukaryota; Metazoa; Chordata; Actinopteri; Cypriniformes; Cyprinidae
Exons: 4
Source: RefSeq, a predicted model, not a curated record
GUGGGCUGACCCCUGGUGCAGUGGAUUUCAGGAUUUCAUAAGGGGGUGUGAGAAUUGCUUUGUUGCAAAUGCCUGGAGUUCAAAAUUCAUUAUCUGAAUAAUUUGGAGGUAGAAAAAAAGUCUAUAAUAUAUGAAAAGUCUAUAGCUGUCAGACUUUGUCUCUGUGUCUUGUUUCCCCUUCCUCUCAUGCCCUUAUUUGGAGUUCCUGUCCUUGUUAUGUGAUCAUUAGUUAAUUAGUCCCCAGGCCUGUGUUAGUAAUUAUCUAGUUUCCCCAGCCUUCUUAAGCCCCGUGUUUCCCUGCCUCAGUGUCCGGUCUUGUUAUGUAUGUAGUUGUCAAGAAAGUCAUUUGUUCCGAAGUUCCUCGGCUCCAGAGAGUGUUGUGACAGAAGACCGGACCAAAACAAAAGAUGAAAGUCGUCGCCCGCACCAGCCUGCCGCCGCAAACUCCAAGCCGCCGCUGUCUGUGGCUGGUCCCAGCCCGCUGCACAGACUUCAGGCUGGCGAAGACACGACAGCCAUGGGUGGCUCUCCCAAGCCCGCCGUUCGCUGGAAAAUUCCGUCCGCGGCCCGCACAAGCCCGCCGUCAGAGAGAAUGGAAAACCCGCCGUUCGCAGGGAAAGUCCGGUCGCCAUCAGCGGCCCGCGCAAGCCCGCCGUCAGAGAGUGGGAGGGGGGGAGUAGUCAGGGCCGCAUUAACCAUUGGGCUAGGCGGGGCUGAAGCCCCGGGGCCCGAGCAAGGAGGGGGCCGUGAUUGGCUGUGGAGAAGAUUGACUGGUCAUUGGUAGCGCCGAUCGCCAAAGCCCCACCACGCCCCCCCCACUUAUUAGCGCUAUUAUUUAGUGGAGCUUUUCCAUAAAUUUCAUUGCAGUAACAUUAGAAAUUGAAACGUCACGUUUGAAUUUGUUUUACCAAUCAAAUGCAUUUAUUUUAUAUAUUGCUUUUGAAAGACCUGUGUAGCCUAUCUAUCAGGUGACCGCUGCGUGCGCACUCAUCUCUCUCUCUUCGCUUGGUUCUGGCGUAAUCUCAUGCAAAGAACAAUCUUCAAAAAGUAAAAAUGUCAACUAUUCAAAAAAUAAAAUUAAAAUAAGGAGAGAGGGGAAAAACACGAGUUAGUCAGUAAAAUUCCCAGCUAUCAGACUAUUUUACUAAAGCUGAUGAUGGAGUGGAAGUUGUGGAACAGCAAGUGGACCGGACACAUGGAGUAGAUAAAAACACAGCGUCAUCGUUGCCACCGAUUUUAGUUUACAGGACAAACUGCACAUUUCAUCAAAUUGUUUGGUGUGAUAUGAUUCCAAAUUAAGUGGGGGGCCAAGCUUGUUGACAGGGGGGCACUGAUGGCGGACUGAUGACAGCUUACUCAGAGCGGGUCUAAGGACGACCUCCUGGACAGCAACCAGACUGGCUUCAGAAGUGAACAUUCAACUGAGACUGCCUUGCUCUCAGUUGUUAAAGCUCUAAAACUGGCAAGAGUGGCUUCCAAAACUUCAAUACUUGUCUUGAUGGAUCUGUCCUCUGCUUUUGGCAUGGUUAACCAUCAGAUCCUCUUGUCAACCUCAUGGCAAAGGCAUCUCAGGAACCUCACUUCAGUGUUCAAGUCUUAGAUCUUUCAAGGUAUCUUGGAGGGAUGAGGUGUCCAAGUCGCAACAUCUAGCUACUGGGCUGCCUCAGGGCUCAGUUAUUGGACCACUUCUUUUCUCUAUCCACACGAUCUGACAAUAGCUGCUCACAUCUCAGCAUGACUAACAGACAUUUAUUGCUGGAUGAAGAACCAUCACCUUCAAUACAACCUUGCCAAGACAGAAUUGCUUGUGGCUUCAGCCAACUCAACACAUCAUCCAACUCAACACAUCAUCCCAAUUUCUCCAUCCAGCUUUGCACAUCAACCAUAACAACUUGCAAGACAGCCAGGAACCUUGGAGUUAUGAUUUGCUGAAUUUCACAGACCACAUUGUUAGAAAUGCCCGCUCCUCCAGAUUUGCCUUAUACAGCAUUAGGAGGAUCAGGCCCUUUCUAUCAGAACAUGCUACACAACUCCUUGUUCAAGCCCUUGUUCUGGCCAGACUUGACUAUUGAAACGCUCUCUUGGCAGGUCCUCCAGGCAGUUCUUUCAAACCUCUGCAACUAAUCCAGAAUGCAGUUGCAAGAGUAGUCUUCAACGACUGGAAAAGUGUGCAUGUCACACCUCUGUUCAUUAAUUUUCUCUGGUUACCAAUAGCAACUCUCAUAAAUUUCAAGGCAUUGAUGUUUGCCUACAAAACAACAAUGGCUCUGCUUCAGACUUGUAUGCCCUCCAGAAGCUUGUGUUCUGCAAGUGAAUGGCACAUUAUAGUGACAUCCCAGAGAGGCACAAAAUCACUUUCAUGGACUUUUACCUUAACUGUUCCCCGCUGGUGGAACAACCUGUCCAACUCGAUCCAAUCAGCUGAGUCUUUAGCCAUCUUCAAGAAUGGCUAAAGACACAUUUCCCAUCUACACUUGAUCCUCCAACACUAACACUCUCUAUUCCAUUUCUACUCUAUCUACUUGUUUUCUUUCAUCUUUAUAACAAUAUUGUUACAAAUGUUGAUUUUUUUUUUUUCAAGUUUUAAUUUGAAAUUGUUUAUUGUCUGUAACUCAUUUCUUGUUUUAUGUAUUUCAAACUUUAUUAUACCUGCUAUGAAUUCAAGUUAUUUUGAAAUUAUCCCUAAAUUGUGUGAGUGUACAACAUUUAAGCUGUGUUGUAUCACUACAAGAAAACGUGAACAUCUGUGUAGAUUUUUUAUUUGUUUGUUUUUUUGCAUUUACUUUUUACAAGAUCAAUUUUACAUGCAUUUAUACAAUAUAUAUUUUUUUAUGCCCAUCCCUAUCAACCUUCUAUUUAACUACAUUCAAGACACUACAAAAUAGGGUAAAAUAAAUAAAUAAAUAAAAAUAACUAAUAGAUAGCACCAUAGUUUUCCCAAGACAAUUGUUUUCUAUUACAAGAAAUGGUAUGUUUGAAUAUGCAAAUGAUGCAUUGCCUAAUUAAAUAUGCACUAACUUAAGUUUUCAGAACAAAAACGCCAGGUUCAGAAUUCACGUUUUACUUUACUGACAUAUUAAUGUUAAAGGUUUUUGCUUUUGUUUUUUUAGAGAGAGAAUUUUGUAUAUCUCCUUUUAUCACUCAAAAAAGCCACAAAAAGUAACCAUAAUUUUAAGAAUAAAAUGUUAUAUUAAACAGGAGAAUGAUAUAUGAACAAACCCCUCUGUAAAAACAAACAAACAAAAAACCUUGAGAAUUGGAAUAAAAACUGCAGUUUAGUUCACACAAGAGCUACUGAACUGGAUAUUUCGGUCUCCCACUAGGUCAUUACUCAUUCUUCCAAAAUGUAAGCAGAGGUAAGAACAUUUUAGAAGGCUUGUUCUUUAAAGAAUGGGCAUAACUAGUCAAUCUCCUACUUCAAAAACUGAAAUCAUGGGUUGCCUGUUAAGGAAGUGAAGAGCUUACUAGGAAAAAUCAUCAUACCAAUCAACCUUGUGCUUCUGCAAUCAUUGAAGAGACCUGACAAUAUCUGGUUUGUCUUUAUUUUAGGCAAUAUAGUUACAAGAAUACAGUACAUGUCUAUAAAUUCUAACAUUUUGUGUAGCAUGCAA